This 206-nucleotide ribosomal RNA is filed under the name uncultured bacterium. Its description in RNAcentral is "partial 16S ribosomal RNA". It matches the Rfam family "Bacterial small subunit ribosomal RNA", at positions 568 to 774 of the family's 1533-position model. The record is from RNAcentral.
CGCGUAGGCGGCCUCUCAAGCGGGAUCCCUAAUCCGAGGGCUCAACCCCCGGCCGGAUCCCGAACUGGGAGGCUCGAGUUCGGUAGAGGCAGGCGGAAUUCCCGGUGUAGCGGUGGAAUGCGCAGAUAUCGGGAAGAACACCGAUGGCGAAGGCAGCCUGCUGGGCCGCAACUGACGCUGAGGCGCGAAAGCUAGGGGAGCAAACA